RNAcentral lists this ribosomal RNA (301 nucleotides) under uncultured bacterium. Its description in RNAcentral is "partial 16S ribosomal RNA". It matches the Rfam family "Bacterial small subunit ribosomal RNA", at positions 509 to 807 of the family's 1533-position model. The record is from RNAcentral.
CAGCAGCCGCGGGAAUACGUAGGUGGCGAGCGUUGUCCGGAUUUAUUGGGCGUAAAGGGAGUGUAGGCGGUCUUUUAAGUCUGAUGUGAAAGCCCACGGCUCAACCGUGGAGGGUCAUUGGAAACUGGGAGACUUGAGUGCAGAAGAGGAGAGCGGAAUUCCAUGUGUAGCGGUGAAAUGCGUAGAUAUUGGGAGGAAUACCGGUGGCGAAGGCGACCUUCUGGACUAAAACUGACGCUGAGGCACGAAAGUGUGGGUAGCAAACAGGAUUAGAUACCCGCGUAGUCCCUGUCUCUUAUAC